UGAAUAAAAUAUAAAGAAAACCUCCAGAAACAGAAAUAACCGCCGAUGGAAACACGCGCCCAACGCCAAGUGAGUCAUCACACACGGAGUGAAUAAUGCAACGCACAAAUCAACACAAAGGAGCGUCCUCUUUGUGUGUCCUGGGAGUGAAUUACCUGUCUCGCUCAUAUCCACUUUCAUUACUUCCUGACAUUCAGUGCGCUCCGGUGUUUGUGCGCGCGCCGCCGCACGCCGCCCGUGCGCCUGAAUGUCACGGCCUAAUGAGAAUGGAUAUGACAGUGACAGGGCCAUCAAUGAGCCGCCUCCCCCCUCACGUGCGGCGUACGUGACGGCCGGCGCGCACAGAGGCCCCGACAAUAACCAAACUCUAUUUACCAGACCUCAUUCGCUCAAUCGGACCCAAAGUAAUUACUUUUAAAUUGCAAAACUGAGGAGCAUUAACAAACGGAUGCGCCAAUUUAGCUCCGCCUGAGGCUCGACAGCUUGUUUUCAAAUGGAAAUGAAGGUAUUUCGCUAUUGUCCGCCGCCGUAUCUUUGUGUGGCGCUUUAAGGCUUUUCUUCCCGCGAUAAAAAGGAGGGACGGCGUUUGUGAGGACGCCGGGGAUAAUUCUGGUUUAAUGGUAACACCGACACUCCUCCCGCUCAGACGGACAGCACAGGAAGCAACACUUCAACCACAAAAAACACAGAGAAACGGCGUUCGGACGGCCGGGGGAGGAGCGCGCGUUCUCCACAUGUCCGGGUCACGGCACUUCAAAGGCGGCCGUGAUUAUCAUGAUCGGCUGUAAUGAGGGGGCCACCGGGGCGAGCGCCGCUCGCUCCUUUUCCUUUAACACAGCCUGUUAUUACCGCGUUCUGUCCCUUCUCUGUGACUCGCCGCUCCUUUUAUACCGUGUAAUUCUCUGGCAAUAACAGGCCUGUCAGCCUCAACUGUCAUCGACCCCACGGGGCCGGCGAGGGCGCCCCCCGGAGCGGACUGGCACAAAGGCGGCGGGGUCGCCGUGUGGCUGACGGGGAUACGAGAGCACCAGCUAGUCGCAGCUUUCCAGGACAUGCAACAACCAGGAAUGAUUCACUGCCCCCUACUGGACACACUUGUCCUAAACAUCUCUGGUCCUGAACGUCCAAAAACAAAAGUGAUCUAAACUGAAUAGAUGGCUCCGUCGUCGUCUCCUUCCAGAUCAUUUCUUCCUCUGACAGGAAGAGGGUCUGAAAGCGGCGUUUUCAUGACAAUAAAAGGAAAUGAUAUGUAAA
Oryzias melastigma (Indian medaka) is the source of this 1254-nucleotide long non-coding RNA. RefSeq lists it as uncharacterized. Lineage: Eukaryota; Metazoa; Chordata; Actinopteri; Beloniformes; Adrianichthyidae. The record is from RefSeq and is a predicted model, not a curated record. The transcript has 2 exons.